This 254-nucleotide ribosomal RNA is filed under the name uncultured bacterium. Its description in RNAcentral is "partial 16S ribosomal RNA". It matches the Rfam family "Bacterial small subunit ribosomal RNA", at positions 524 to 776 of the family's 1533-position model. The record is from RNAcentral.
UACGUAGGGAGCAAGCGUUGUCCGGAAUCAUUGGGCGUAAAGCGCGCGUAGGUGGCCUCAUAAGUCCGCUGUGAAAGUCAAAGGCUCAACCUUUGAAAGCCGGUGGAUACUGUGAGGCUAGAGUACGGAAGAGGCGAGUGGAAUUCCUGGUGUAGCGGUGGAAUGCGCAGAUAUCAGGAGGAACACCGGUGGCGAAGGCGGGUCUCUGGGCCGAGGGCCGACGCUGAGGCGCGAGAGCGUGGGGAGCGAACCGG